Molecule: ribosomal RNA, 492 nt
Filed under: uncultured bacterium
Lineage: Bacteria
Description: partial 16S ribosomal RNA
Rfam family: Bacterial small subunit ribosomal RNA
Source: RNAcentral
AGUGAACGCUGGCGGUAGGCCUAACACAUGCAAGUCGAACGGCAGCACAGUAAGAGCUUGCUCUUACGGGUGGCGAGUGGCGGACGGGUGAGGAAUACAUCGGAAUCUACUUUUUCGUGGGGGAUAACGUAGGGAAACUUACGCUAAUACCGCAUACGACCUACGGGUGAAAGCAGGGGAUCUUCGGACCUUGCGCGAUUGAAUGAGCCGAUGUCGGAUUAGCUAGUUGGCGGGGUAAAGGCCCACCAAGGCGACGAUCCGUAGCUGGUCUGAGAGGAUGAUCAGCCACACUGGAACUGAGACACGGUCCAGACUCCUACGGGAGGCAGCAGUGGGGAAUAUUGGACAAUGGGCGCAAGCCUGAUCCAGCCAUACCGCGUGGGUGAAGAAGGCCUUCGGGUUGUAAAGCCCUUUUGUUGGGAAAGAAAAGCAGCAGGUUAAUACCCCGCUGUUCUGACGGUAGCCAAAGAAUAAGCACCGGCUAACUUCGUG